UCCUAAACUAACAUGUACUACAAUAAUAAUAAUAACAAUCAAACAAACCCAGAACUCCCAUAAUGCAUUGCUCCAAUGCAUUAUGAUCAACAGCGUGUCUGCUUUAAAAGACAGCAUGUCCAUGCAAACCUUUACUUUUCUUUAAGUGAAAAGACACUUAUUUAUGGAGUUAAAUUUGUCUCAUUAAUACCUGUAAAUGCACAGAGGGUGAUAAAUACAGUGGUCCUUUGCUA
This is a long non-coding RNA of Thalassophryne amazonica, 233 nucleotides long. RefSeq lists it as uncharacterized. NCBI's taxonomy places the organism in Eukaryota, Metazoa, Chordata, Actinopteri, Batrachoidiformes, Batrachoididae. The record is from RefSeq and is a predicted model, not a curated record. The transcript is spliced from 3 exons.